This 484-nucleotide ribosomal RNA is filed under the name uncultured bacterium. RNAcentral's name for it is "partial 16S ribosomal RNA". It matches the Rfam family "Bacterial small subunit ribosomal RNA", at positions 30 to 507 of the family's 1533-position model. The record is from RNAcentral.
AUUGAACGCUGGCGGCAGGCCUAACACAUGCAAGUCGAGCGGAUGAAGGGAGCUUGCUCCUGGAUUCAGCGGCGGACGGGUGAGUAAUGCCUAGGAAUCUGCCUGGUAGUGGGGGAUAACGUCCGUAAACGGGCGCUAAUACCGCAUACGUCCUGAUAGAGAAAGUGGGGGAUCUUCGGACCACACGCUAUCAGAUGAGCCUAGGUCGGAUUAGCUAGUUGGUGGGGUAAGGGCGUACCAAGGCGACGAUCCGUAACUGGGCUGAGAGGAUGAUCAGCCACACUGGAACUGAGACACGGUCCAGACUCCUACGGGAGGCAGCAGUGGGGAAUAUUGGACAAUGGGCGAAAGCCUGAUCCAGCCACGCCGCGUGUGUGAAGAAGGUCUUCGGAUUGUAAAGCACUUUUAGUUGGGAGGAAGGGCAGUAAGUUAAUACCUUGCUGUCUUGACGUUACCAAAAGAAAAAGCACCGGCUAACUUCGUG